AAAGACUUAGUCCUAACCUUACCAUUAGCUAUCAUUAGACAUAUACAUGCAAGUAUCCGCGCUCCAGUGUAAAUGCCCUCGCCCAUAUGCCUCACCCAGGCAAGAGGAGCAGGUAUCAGGCCCACUACCGUAGCCCAAAACACCUAGCCCAGCCACACCCUCACGGGUCUUCAGCAGUAAUUAACAUUAAGCAAUAAGUGCAAGCUUGACUUAGUCACAAUGACUUAGGGCCGGUAAAUCUUGUGCCAGCCACCGCGGUCAUACAAGAGGCCCAAGUUAAUGGUAUUCGGCGUAAAGCGUGGAAACAUGCUAUCCAAACAACUAGGACCAAAAUGCAUCCAAGCUGUCAUAUGCCUAAGAUAGCACCAAAACCCCCCAUAAAAACGGUCCUAGCACUAAAGAUUAAUUAUACACCACGAAAGCCAAGGAACAAACUGGGAUUAGAUACCCCACUAUGCUUGGCCCUAAAUCCAGAUGCUUAACCUACCAAAGCAUUCGCCCGAGAACUACGAGCAUAAACGCUUAAAACUCUAAGGACUUGGCGGUGCCCUAAA
Molecule: ribosomal RNA, 554 nt
Filed under: Crypturellus strigulosus (brazilian tinamou)
Lineage: Eukaryota; Metazoa; Chordata; Aves; Tinamiformes; Tinamidae
Description: partial 12S ribosomal RNA
Rfam family: Bacterial small subunit ribosomal RNA
Source: RNAcentral